Molecule: long non-coding RNA, 1678 nt
Organism: Oreochromis aureus
Lineage: Eukaryota; Metazoa; Chordata; Actinopteri; Cichliformes; Cichlidae
Source: Ensembl
CCAGAUGUUUACAUGAAAGUAAAACCAGAUGAUUUCCUCCUCCACACAGAUACAGAGUCUGUCUGCACCUUCUACACAAAGCCUAUAAGGUGGGACAGGCAUGAGGGGCAGCCAGUGACCCCUCACACACGUCCUUAUGCUGAUAUCCAGGGCAGCUGUGGUCCAGCCAUCCCAUACACCCAGUUCCUCUGGUGAGGGGGGAAAGGGCCCAGUUGAUCCCUGCUCCGGUUCCCAGGCCGGCUGAACCUCUGCUAGUCCCUGCACCCGUACCUGUUCUUCCGGUAGGGACAGCAGCUGCCCAGCGGUCGCCGGUGCCUGUUCCGGUUCCCAGGGUGAGGCUAGCCAGGACACAGCCUACCUCUGCACCCGUACCUACUCCGCGGGUGGGAUCAGCUAGUGCCCAGCAAGCCCCUGCACCUGUUUCUGACCCCGCUGGAGGCUCAGAGGGCCCCGUUCAGCCACACCGUCUGGUCCUGCCUCACCUCGUCCUGUUCGUCCUUCAGCGUCGCCGCCGUUGCUUUUCGCACGGUCGGCCUCCUGACCUAAAAUGUUUUUCGACUGUUGUGCUGUCGACCUCCAGGCCGGCCCCCUGAACCUUUUCGAGACUGUUACCUGGGCCCCUGCGCCUUUCAUGGACUUUUUGUUUGUUUCAUUUUGAACUGUUCCCAGGCCUCAGUGCUGUUGGUCUCUGGCUCCUUGUUUUUGGUUUGUCUCGAACUAUGUGUUGGUGUGCCUGGGUCAUUGACCCAGAGUUUUGAGUUUUCAUUAUUAUAGUACUUUGGUUUUUGCCUUUAUUUAUCAUUUCUAGUCUUUUGGUUUCUUUGUCAGAGUUGUGCCUUCUGGGUUCUGUUCUGUUCCAUAGUUGCUGUCUCCCUGUGUCAAGUCUGCAUCUCUGUGUUAUGUUUCCUGUUUUACUUUGAAGGACCAUGUCUUAUGUUAAUGUGUCUGGUUUUGCUUCCCCUGUUUCAUUAGGCCUGAUUUGCCCCAGCUGUGUUUCCCUCCUGUUACCCAUUCCCUGACUGCUCCCUCUGUGUAUUUAAUCCUUGUGUUUCCCUGUGUCAGUGUCGCGAUCUACCCUCAUUCAUGUUGUGUGUUCUGUCUGCCUGCGUAAGUUUAUUUUGUAUUUUAGUUCAGCCAGUUUUCUGUUUUGUCGUCCAGCAUUAAAGCUGUAUUUAACUUCACCUUUUGCUUCCGUCAGUGUGCAUUUUGGGUCCUUUUCCUGCCUGCACACAGCCUUCACAUGGCACUAUGAUCUUGUCUUUAUUUUUAGUUAGCACUUACCUUAAACACUUCAAGCUGUAAGCUAAUGAUAGUUAUAUAAGAGCAGACGCAUGCUGAUGCAAUAAGCUGUACGUUUUAUGUCCAAUUGCUGCAUAAAAAAAUAAUGUGUGACUAGUCGACUAUCAAAAUAAUCAUUUGUGACGGCCCUAAUAACAACUAUGCAUUCAGAAUUUUCCCCUAUACAGUAUUAUACUAAACAACAGUAAACUGGUCUGUUUCCUGGCAUCAUCUGAUGUUUUUGUAAAAUCUUUGGUUCUGUUGUUCUGUUUUUCUGCUGCUCUCUGUAAAAUUAUUCAAAGACAGUUUUGGUAAUGAGCUGGAUUAGAUCCUAGAAAUAUGUCACUGCAACCCUUUAAAUAUGUGUUAUAAAACCCUCCACUCUUUACUGUUUUAUCUU